ACAGAGGACAGCCCCUGAAGGCAUAAGCAGGAAGGGCAUAAUGCUUUCCAAAAGAGAAAACUACAUGGACUUUACUGACUCAUCACUGAGUUCUGAGAUCACUGACACUUACACAUGUGUCCACGCUGUUGUGAGUCAUGGGGAAAAAUGGAGGAGCAAAAUGACCAAGUGGCAGGGUCUGUAAGAGUCUCUCACUGUAGGGAUGGGCUGCCCUGAGGAGACACUGCCCAGGCCUGGGUGCCCCGGGCCAAAGUCCUGACCCUUGCAGGGCUGUGUCCUGUGGAUGACAUGUGGCACUGGACUGCUCACUGACAGGAGGAGAUAAUCAUGGCUGCGCAUUGGGAC
Molecule: long non-coding RNA, 345 nt
Filed under: Homo sapiens (human)
Lineage: Eukaryota; Metazoa; Chordata; Mammalia; Primates; Hominidae
Description: non-protein coding lnc-SMOC2-8:9
Source: RNAcentral